GGAGAUUUGACUACAGAAGUAGGAGGUAUGAUGACAGAAGUAAGAGAUUAGAGUGUUGGGGAUGCAAGCCCAGGAAUGAUAAGUAAUACUAAGGAAUCCUGGCAGCCUCUAGAAGCUAGAAGAAGCAAAGAAUAGAUUCUCUCCUGGAGCCUCCAGAAGGAACCAACUGCGCAGGACCCUCCAUACUGUUCUACAUGGAGUUUUCCAGGGAACUGCCAGACAGAGCAAAUAAUGACAGCGCUCUGGAAACAGGGCUUUGGAGGAUCUUCAGCCCCUUUCUGCCACCUCUGGGGGCUGCCAGGCUGCUGGUGUUCAAGUGACUGUGGAACAGUUGGUCUUCAAGGCUGCCAUGAAACCAAGGACGGGGGAAUAGAAACAGAGCAAGUUAAAAUGCCACAAAGCUUAUUGUUUUUUACUGAUGACAGUCAGCUCUUUUUCUUGAAUAAACUAUCUUUAGCCUGUUGCAAGCCUUUGGUUAAUUUCUAGAGCUGUAAAAAAGUUGAUUUUGACAAUGUUUUUGGCCACUGUUGGUGGUAGUAGUGUGGGUUAAUAGAUGUUUCAGGUGAACAAAUGCUAACAGAAUCUGAAAUAGUACGGUUGUCUCCAGAUGGAAUGGACUGUCUUAGAAGAUAAUGAAUUCCCUGAUUUUCAAACAGAAGCUCAACAACACACGGCCAGGGGUAUUAUGGAGGGAUUCUAACAUCAGAAGAAUGGCUGGACUAGAUCAUGAUGUAUUUUAUUAUUAAAAUAUUGGAUUAUUUUAUUAUUAUUAAAUAUCUUAAAUAGCCACAAAGUAGAUAGUCCUGUUAUCUAGAC
This 816-nucleotide long non-coding RNA is filed under the name Equus asinus (donkey). RNAcentral's name for it is "lncRNA (ENSEASG00005031425.1)". The record is from RNAcentral. Lineage: Eukaryota; Metazoa; Chordata; Mammalia; Perissodactyla; Equidae.